Molecule: ribosomal RNA, 466 nt
Filed under: uncultured bacterium
Lineage: Bacteria
Description: partial 16S ribosomal RNA
Rfam family: Bacterial small subunit ribosomal RNA
Source: RNAcentral
CUACGGGUUGCUCCAGUCGAGAAUAGUCUACAAUGGGGGAAACCCUGAUAGUGCGACGCCGCGUGAACGAUGAAUCCUUUCGGGGUGUAAAGUUCUUUUCUGCGUGAGCAAGACUGAUAAGAUUAAUAGUUUUAUGAGUAAGAUAUUAGCGCAGGAAUAAGCUCCGGCUAACUCCGUGCCAGCAGCCGCGGUAACACGGGGGGAGCAAGCGUUGUCCGGAAUCACUAGGCGUAAAGGGCAAGUAGGCGGAUAGAUCAGUCAGGUGUUAAAGGCGUCGGCUCAACCGGCGUAUAGCAUUUGAUACUGUUUAUCUAGAGUGAAGUAGAGGAAGACGGAAUUCCUGGUGUAGCGGUGGAAUGCGCAGAUAUCAGGAAGAACACCGAUGGCGAAGGCAGUCUUCUGGGCUUCAACUGACGCUAAAUUGCGAAGGUGUGGGUAUCGAACAGGAUUAGAUACCCUGGUAGUC